Non-coding RNA from Triticum aestivum (bread wheat), 135 nucleotides. The record is from Rfam. NCBI's taxonomy places the organism in Eukaryota, Viridiplantae, Streptophyta, Magnoliopsida, Poales, Poaceae.
CAUAUACUCCCUCCUCCCAAAAUUCUUGUCUUAUACUAGUAUUUGUCUACAUAUGGAUGUAUCUAGUCACGUUUUAGUAUUAGAUACAUCCAUAUAGACAAACAAGACAAGAAUUUUGGGAGGAGGUAAUACAUG